UACGGAGGGUGCGAGCGUUGUCCGGAAUCAUUGGGCGUAAAGGGCGCGUAGGUGGCCCGGUCAGUUCGUGGUGAAAGCGCGGGGCUCAACCCUGCGUCGGCCAUGAAUACUGCCGCGGCUGGAGCACUGUAGAGGCAGGCGGAAUUCCGGGUGUAGCGGUGGAAUGCGUAGAGAUCCGGAAGAACACCGGUGGCGAAGGCGGCCUGCUGGGCAGUUGCUGACACUGAGGCGCGGACAGCGUGGGGAGCAAACGGG
This 255-nucleotide ribosomal RNA is filed under the name uncultured bacterium. RNAcentral describes it as "partial 16S ribosomal RNA". It matches the Rfam family "Bacterial small subunit ribosomal RNA", at positions 524 to 776 of the family's 1533-position model. The record is from RNAcentral.